CCUACGGGAGGCAGCAGUGAGGAAUAUUGGUCAAUGGACGAGAGUCUGAACCAGCCAAGUAGCGUGAAGGAUGACUGCCCUAUGGGUUGUAAACUUCUUUUAUAUGGGAAUAAAAUGUUCCACGUGUGGGCUUUUGUAUGUACCAUAUGAAUAAGGAUCGGCUAACUCCGUGCCAGCAGCCGCGGUAAUACGGAGGAUCCGAGCGUUAUCCGGAUUUAUUGGGUUUAAAGGGAGCGUAGGUGGAUUGUUAAGUCAGUUGUGAAAGUUUGCGGCUCAACCGUAAAAUUGCAGUUGAAACUGGCAGUCUUGAGUACAGUAGAGGUGGGCGGAAUUCGUGGUGUAGCGGUGAAAUGCUUAGAUAUCACGAAGAACUCCGAUUGUGAAGGCAGCUCACUGGACUGCAACUGACACUGAGGCUCGAAAGUGUGGGUAUCAAACAGGAUUAGAUACCCUAGUAGUC
This 460-nucleotide ribosomal RNA is filed under the name uncultured bacterium. RNAcentral describes it as "partial 16S ribosomal RNA". It matches the Rfam family "Bacterial small subunit ribosomal RNA", at positions 338 to 795 of the family's 1533-position model. The record is from RNAcentral.